This 312-nucleotide ribosomal RNA is filed under the name Orthosplanchnus arcticus. RNAcentral describes it as "SSU rRNA". It matches the Rfam family "Eukaryotic small subunit ribosomal RNA", at positions 127 to 418 of the family's 1831-position model. The record is from RNAcentral. Lineage: Eukaryota; Metazoa; Platyhelminthes; Trematoda; Plagiorchiida; Brachycladiidae.
CGUACCUACUACAUGGAUAACUGUAGUAAUUCUAGAGCUAAUACAUGCCACUAUGCCCUGACCCGCGAGGGGACGGGUGGAUUUAUUAGAACAGAACCAACCGGUUGUGGCUUCGGCUGCUUCCGUUGCACUCUGUGAUGACUCUGGAUAACUUCACUGAUCGCAGUCGGCCUUGUGUCGGCGACGGAUCUUUCAAAUGUCUGCCCUAUCAAUUUUCGAUGGUAGGUGACCUGCCUACCAUGGUGAUAACGGGUAACGGGGAAUCAGGGUUCGAUUCCGGAGAGGGAGCCUGAGAAAUGGCUACCAAACCUG